RNAcentral lists this ribosomal RNA (254 nucleotides) under uncultured bacterium. RNAcentral describes it as "partial 16S ribosomal RNA". It matches the Rfam family "Bacterial small subunit ribosomal RNA", at positions 524 to 776 of the family's 1533-position model. The record is from RNAcentral.
UACGAAGGGGGCUAGCGUUGCUCGGAAUCACUGGGCGUAAAGGGUGCGUAGGCGGGUCUUUUAAGUCAGGGGUGAAAUCCUGGAGCUCAACUCCAGAACUGCCUUUGAUACUGAGGAUCUUGAGUUCGGGAGAGGUGAGUGGAACUGCGAGUGUAGAGGUGAAAUUCGUAGAUAUUCGCAAGAACACCAGUGGCGAAGGCGGCUCACUGGCCCGAUACUGACGCUGAGGCGCGAAAGCGUGGGGAGCAAACAGG